This is a long non-coding RNA of Hevea brasiliensis (rubber tree), 1130 nucleotides long. RefSeq lists it as uncharacterized. The record is from RefSeq and is a predicted model, not a curated record. NCBI's taxonomy places the organism in Eukaryota, Viridiplantae, Streptophyta, Magnoliopsida, Malpighiales, Euphorbiaceae. The transcript is spliced from 2 exons.
UUUGUCACUAACAGGACACCCAUGAAAAGAUAUGUACAUGUCCUUUUGUUAAACACCGGGGGGACCCCUAAUCUGUCACCUUAAAGCAGUGUUCCGGGUUGCUUUCUUGUAUCAAAUAUUCUGCUAUGCCUUUAAAGUAAUAUGAAUCCAAAUAGCCGGAAGAACCAUGCAAUUUUCUCAGCAUCAUAGCCAACUUUUUCACCAAUGUUUUUUCAGUCCCAAUUCUUGAUUAACUGUAAGAUGCAUGUGAAGCUACAAGUUCUUUGUCGUUAGAUUUGAUACAAGUUUUCUUGCUGUUAGAUUUACUAACUUUGGUAAAGAAAAAGUGUUUUCUUUUUCUAUUGGAAGAUUUUAUUUUUUCAUGCUUUCGUUCAAGAAUUUUUUAACUGAGUACAGAAGGUGGUGGUGGUCAAAAAGAUGAUCUGUGCAGAAGAAGAAAAUGGAGAAAGGGUGUCCGUGAGGAGGACGCGCGAGAGGAAGAUAACAAGAAAGGGAGAGGCCGGGGGUUCAUUUCAUAUUCAAACAGACAACGAAAGACAUCGGAUACGCGAAAAAAGCCCCUACCACCACCCCAUUGUCUCCUUGGCUUCCUCGGCUUUCGUGCGAUUUUUAAGCCCUGCCCCACUCUCUCUCUGCUCUAAAACCACCCUCCUCUUCACUUUCCUUGAACCCAAAUCGCCUCGCUUCGAGAUUGAAGCUUUCUUUGUUCCUCCCUCUUACUCUAGGGAACUAAGGUUUAUACACUUUUAGAGAUGUUUGCCUUCAUUCAUCUUCAAGCUAUUGCUUCUCGUGGUCUGCCUCUGAUCCUUGUGCAGUUCCCUGAGAGCUGGUUUCUCCCAAAAAGGUUCAAAGUCAGUAGAGAUGCAGUUGAAGAUCAUCUUCUCUCUGAACAUUGAACAUGAAAUUUGUAGUGAUGCCGUUGAAGAUCAUCUUCUCUCUGAACAUUGAACAUGAAAUUUACUUAUUUUUAAGGUCUGCAGAAUUUAUGAUUUGAUAUAAUUGAGACAUGGAGUAGGGAAUGAAGCCAUCGGUCCGUGCAGUAUAGGAUAAAUGUAUAAUAUUUGACAGUUACUGUAAACUUUUUGUGUUUCUGAAAUUUUUAGCUGAUACGAACAAUGUUUUAAUUCCUA